UAGGGAAUCUUCGGCAAUGGGGGCAACCCUGACCGAGCAACGCCGCGUGAGUGAAGAAGGUUUUCGGAUCGUAAAGCUCUGUUGUAAGUCAAGAACGAGUGUGAGAGUGGAAAGUUCACACUGUGACGGUAGCUUACCAGAAAGGGACGGCUAACUACGUGCCAGCAGCCGCGGUAAUACGUAGGUCCCGAGCGUUGUCCGGAUUUAUUGGGCGUAAAGCGAGCGCAGGCGGUUUGAUAAGUCUGAAGUUAAAGGCUGUGGCUCAACCAUAGUUCGCUUUGGAAACUGUCAAACUUGAGUGCAGAAGGGGAGAGUGGAAUUCCAUGUGUAGCGGUGAAAUGCGUAGAUAUAUGGAGGAACACCGGUGGCGAAAGCGGCUCUCUGGUCUGUAACUGACGCUGAGGCUCGAAAGCGUGGGGAGCGAACAGGAUUAGAUACCCUGGUAGUCCACGCCGUAAACGAUGAGUGCUAGGUGUUAGGUCCUUUCCGGGACUUAGUGCCGCAGCUAACGCAUUAAGCACUCCGCCUGGGGAGUACGACCGCAAGGUUG
Molecule: ribosomal RNA, 550 nt
Filed under: uncultured bacterium
Lineage: Bacteria
Description: bacterial SSU rRNA
Rfam family: Bacterial small subunit ribosomal RNA
Source: RNAcentral